GCCAGCCCGCUCAAGAAACUCAAAUGAAUUGACGGGGGCCCGCACAAGCGGUGGAGUAUGUGGUUUAAUUCGAUGCAACGCGAAGAACCUUACCUGGUCUUGACAUCCCGGAGACCCUUAGGAAACUAGGGGGUGCUUCCAUCUGGAAGAAUCUGGAGACAGGUGCUGCAUGGCUGUCGUCAGCUCGUGUCGUGAGAUGUUGGGUUAAGUCCCGCAACGAGCGCAACCCUUGCCUUUAGUUGCCAGCAGUUCGGCUGGGCACUCUAAAGGGACUGCCGGUGUUAAACCGGAGGAAGGUGGGGAUGACGUCAAGUCCUCAUGGCCUUUAUGACCAGGGCUACACACGUACUACAAUGGCCGAUACAAAGGGCAGCGACACUGCGAGGUGAAGCCAAUCCCGUAAAAUCGGUCUCAGUCCGGAUUGGAGUCUGCAACUCGACUCCAUGAAGUUGGAAUCGCUAGUAAUCGUGGAUCAGCAUGCCACGGUGAAUACGUUCCCGGGCCUU
This 506-nucleotide ribosomal RNA is filed under the name uncultured Desulfobulbus sp. RNAcentral describes it as "bacterial SSU rRNA". It matches the Rfam family "Bacterial small subunit ribosomal RNA", at positions 878 to 1382 of the family's 1533-position model. The record is from RNAcentral. Lineage: Bacteria; Pseudomonadati; Thermodesulfobacteriota; Desulfobulbia; Desulfobulbales; Desulfobulbaceae.